UCUCUCUCUCUCUCUCUCUCUCUCUCUCUCUCUCUCUCUCUCUCUCUCUCUCUCUCUCUCUCUCUCUCUCUCUCUCUCUCUCUCUCUCUCUCUCUCUCUCUCUCUCUCUCUCACCCACUCAUAUUCAAGGUCUGUAAAUGCAUCCAAAUUAAAAGGAUACAGUGUCUUUGCAGAGUUCUUUAUUCACAAUUGAUCUGUUGCAAUGCUGCAGUUCAAUGUUGAGUUUAUGUAUAGUUUGACGGUUCAUGUUGAAAAUACUGGAAUGAGUUGUUUAUGAGUUGAGAAUUCACAAACAUUUAUGUUAUCUCUCUUGUCUCACAGUUAGAGUUGUGUAGUUGCAUGAUCUCUGUUGUGUUUGCUUUGUGGGGGAAAUGGUGGAGAUAUCUGUGGUCCAAGGCGGUCAGUCUUUCUCUUGGAGGAGAAAGUAUGUAGCAUAUCAGUUUAGUAGAGACCGCUGUGACAGGAACAUGACUUUGUUUUUAGCUUUAUUGUGAAAUGUGCAUUAGAAGACUGACUCUCUUAAUGGUUUCUGCAGUCCAAGAAAGGCAAAUACAUGACAGAGGAAAGAAUUACUCAAUUUAGAAGAAGUGGUUAAAUCUGUGAUAAGGUUCUUUGGAGCUAGGUGUUAAGCAAGGUUAAUUUUGUUUUCUUUUUAAUUUAACCCACUGGCACCAGUUACAUGCACUGUCCAUUGCAGUUUUGUUUUGUCAGUUUUGAUUGCACACAGAUUCAGGGAGUCUAUUACUAGGCCUACCUGACUUCACCGGACUUUACUCCACUUCCUUAAUUCUUUUGAAAAAAGGUUUCUUAUAAUGUUAUUAUCAUUGUUGAAGUUUUUUUUACUAACGUUAUUAUUGUUAUAAGAUUAUUAACAGUAAUGAUAAUAAUAAAGAUAAAAGUGAGAUCUGGUAUGACUAGUUAUUGACUCCAAAUGAAAGAAAGAAAAAAAUGGACUAAAAUUCCAGUGGACAGGGAAUGUGCAUAUGCACUCAUGGCAUCAACAGGAUAAAUAAAAUUUAUUCUUUUAGUAGUUAAGGAAAAUGUAUGCAUAAUCACCUGUAGAUUAUACAGAACUUGGAGGUUGAAAUUUCAUUGAUUUUAAGUUUUCUCUCUGCAUUUUAGUAAGAAAAAUACUCAAAAGUACUCAUUUUGUGGUUUUUGAUAUGUGACACAUGCUAUGCAAUCAGCAUUCCAGUUUUCGGAAUUGGGCAUUAAUUAAUAUUUAAUAAUUAGAUAUGUAUGAGUUUUCUUUUCUACAAUUGGAGAAACAAGUAAUAUUAAGCCAGUGCUGCUGGGAACAUGUAAGUGUUCUGCAGUCUUGUUUUGUUAAACAUGUUUAUGCCUAGAUUGCUCAACAAAGUGCUCAGUCAGCAAGGAGUCAAUUAGGAGACCUUUUGACCUCUCCUGAUUUCCCCCUAAGGUUUUGGAAUUUUCAUCUCAAAUUCUGUUCAUAGUCAUAUAGUUGUUGUUACUAUUGAUAUCAUGAUUAUAAUGUUAUUAACAAUGCAAUAUGAAAAUAAAAUUUGUAUUUUGGGAAAUCAAGGAAAACCUUAAAAGGAAAGAUAGGUGGUACUACCAACUAACUUCUUGGUAACUAAGUGCUUUUGGGGCAAUCUGUAUGUAAAUACAAUUAAUAAACUAAACUCACAGUGGGGAUGGUAUGCACUUACAUGCCCUUCCUGGCAGCACCGGGAUAAUCAUACAGAUUCUGGAAAACUAGAACAUCUUGUAAACUGACUACAGUAAGUGAAAUAGUCUUGGAAGAAUUGGGAUGAGGAAUAUUUUUUCUUUUCUGGUUUAUUUGAGUCAGUGUCUGUUUUAGAUUUGCAGAUAUUAAUCAGUAGCCCAGAAUGAGGUUUCUUAUGUAUUAGUCUAUGGUAAUGUUAGGAAUUAUAUAUAAGAAUUCAUGUGAAUCAUCUUUGGUAUUAAAUUCUAUAGAAAAUAUAUUUUUUCAAUAUAUUAAUUCUAUUAAGCAUGAACUUUAUGUGCCCCAAGACAUUCCAAAAUCAGAGAUUAAAGGAUUAGAAACCAUAAGUUUAUAUGUUUUCACUAAUCUUUAACAUUGUGACUUUAUUACUUCACCUACAACCCAAACAAGCUGUAUCAAAUCAGUCAGAGGGUAUAGUAUAUCAGAUAUAUGAGGAUCUUGACUGAAGUUCAUAAAUAUUCUAUUGUUUUUUUGGCUACCCUGGUAAGGUGAUGUUUGAAAUGCUAAUAGCCUAACUGUUAGUAUGUAGGUAAUGCAUUUGAUAAAACAGCCACAAUAAAAAAAAAAAAUUACAGUUCAAAUCCAGUCCAUGUUUCUCUAUAGGAAUGCAAAUUUGAUAUUUUGCAUUGUGUCCUGAGGAACCCUAAUUGGAUUUAAAGUGUCACAUAUUACUUUCCUUAUUUUACUGAUGCUGUUUUGUGUACCCAUGCUACUUUGUUUGUUUUUUGUUCACCUGGGUAACAUUUUUUUUUGGUAUAUCUUAAAAAGGUAUUUAUAUAGAGAAAUAAAUGAUAUAUGAAUAUAUAUUUUGAAAAAGUAUCUAUAAGUUGAAAAGUAAAAAAAAUGAUGAAUACAAAUGAAAUGUUCAUAGGUUAACAUGUAUUUGCAUUCAGACAAGAUCCAAGUAGCCGUCACAAAGGUAUGAAAGGCAGUGUGUCAUUUUAUUUACUACCUGUUGCUUGAUUUAUUGUUCUGUUAAUGAGGUAGAUGCUAUAUUUUGUAGAAUGUCUUACACAGAGUUAGAAUGCACACAGAUUUUAUAUUUUAAUAUUCCAUGAGUAUAAGAAACAAGUUAUAGCAGGCAUUACAUGACCCUGAGUUAUAAUCACCCAUCCAAGUGGAGGUACAUAGCAAAACAAAUUCGGUGACCAGAAAAUAUCACAAUAUAUGUACUAGAUUGCAAAAUAAAGAUAUCUGGAAACAGUUCUGUAUUAUGACAGAAUAGUCAUGCAGAGACUAUAUCUGAAGUAAUAGGACUGAACUAUAAUUUACGUAUUCAGAUCACUUUCCCUAUAAUCAAAGCUAUUUUAACCUUGACAUGCAUGUGAUGUGAAUCUCACAUCGCUCAUUUAGGGUGUGCUGUGGUGUUUGUGUAUCUCUGCUCCUACAGUUAUGCUUUUCUCCAACCUGUGUCAUAGUUUUAAUGUGAACAGAAAACCCAUUGCUCUGUUAAGUUGAGUUGGUGAUUAGCAAUUUUUGGAAAGUGAACAUCUACAUGCAAAUUAUUGCUCAACAGCCAGGUUGGAAAAUGGGUCCCAGCAGAUGUUUGGCAAAGAACACAGAAAGUGGUUUGAUAUUGAAUUUGUACGUUUGCUCAUUAAUGAUGAGACAAGAUCUACUCAACUCUUUUGCGUGUGAAAGUGCAGAUCAACAAGGCAUUUUUUAAUCAUCCUAGAGUGUUCCAAUGUAGUGACUUAUGAUUUCAUAAUAGAAUACAAUAUAUCGUAAGAAGAAGCAUGAUCUAUGUGCUGGAAACACAAGUUAUAAUGGCUGCCGUUUUUAUUCUGCUGAGACGUUUAUUUACCUCACUUGUUGCAUCUGAUUUGAUCAUAUAAUCAGAUACACACUAAUUGAUGACAAAAUUAUCACCACUGUUAAACCUUGCAUUACAAUAAAUAUGUUUAUUCGG
Molecule: long non-coding RNA, 3617 nt
Organism: Penaeus chinensis
Lineage: Eukaryota; Metazoa; Arthropoda; Malacostraca; Decapoda; Penaeidae
Exons: 2
Source: RefSeq, a predicted model, not a curated record